UACGGGGGGGGCAAGCGUUGUCCGGAAUUAUUGGGCGUAAAGCGCGCGCAGGCGGCCUUUUAAGUCUGAUGUGAAAGCCCACGGCUCAACCGUGGAAGGUCAUUGGAAACUGAAAGGCUUGAGUACAGAAGAGGAAAGCGGAAUUCCACGUGUAGCGGUGAAAUGCGUAGAGAUGUGGAGGAACACCAGUGGCGAAGGCGGCUUUCUGGUCUGUAACUGACGCUGAGGCGCGAAAGCGUGGGGAGCAAACAGG
RNAcentral lists this ribosomal RNA (253 nucleotides) under uncultured bacterium. RNAcentral's name for it is "partial 16S ribosomal RNA". It matches the Rfam family "Bacterial small subunit ribosomal RNA", at positions 524 to 776 of the family's 1533-position model. The record is from RNAcentral.